Molecule: ribosomal RNA, 1777 nt
Filed under: Triticum aestivum (bread wheat)
Lineage: Eukaryota; Viridiplantae; Streptophyta; Magnoliopsida; Poales; Poaceae
Description: partial small subunit ribosomal RNA
Source: RNAcentral
GCGAUGGAGUGCAAUCCCGAAGAAGAAGAACAUUGCAAAGAAAGACCCUAGCCAAGCGCCACCCAAUUCUCUUUCACCGACCUAUCUAAUGGCCAUCAAUUCAAUUGGUCCAAGCUGCUGCGUUGACCUUCCCAUUGAUCCACUACAUCCUCGCUCAGUUGCUUCUGCUAUGUUUCUUCUCCAUGCCAUUGCCGGCUGCUGGCGUGCCUGACAUCGCACCUUAUGUGACCUGAUAUGAUGCUCCUCUACAUGUUCUUCUCACCCCGGUUUUCAUGAGGAAAGAUAUUGUUCUGCGGUUCUGUAGCUCUACUCCAUAGCAAUGAUGGAGUCGCCUCCAGAUGGAUAGCAAUUAUCUCGGGAUCAUGAGCUGUCUACGCAACGACCAGGGGGCAUAUUCUUCUCCUACCACUAACACCUUCAUCCUAUUUGAGCCAAAAUGGCUUUGGUGCCCUCUCUCUCUCUCAUGGUGAGGCUGUGCACGCUUGCCAUGGUUGUGGCUACGAAAUCUCACACUGAGUCGCUUCGGUCGGGCACUAUUCAGACUAAAGUGAGAGUUUCUAGCAUAUUCCUCUUUUACGGUGACGCCAGAUUCGAAUUUGAAGGCGUACUUAUCCCUGAGCUGGUGGUGCCUGAGAACAACAACGACAACAUUCUGGUGCAUCAGGGGCACACAUCGUCUCCAAGCUCUGUCGCAAGCAACGCAGGCACGCCUCAGGCUCAAAGUCCGGUUGCCGUGCAGGCGAGCGGCAGCAGCCACUUACGUCUCUUCCAAGAAGGGCGCCGCCUUGGAGGAGCAUAACGAGAGAAGCAAGUCGACACCGACUACAGCGGCGCAUGAGCCAACAAAGGGGCAGGAUCAUUGGAGACGACGGACACAGAGGCGCGUGCUAGGCAUGCCAAUCAUCAAACACUAGGGAGCGAUCCCACCCCCGAUGCCACAGUACAUGCAGUCGUCGCUGCCGCCUCUACAUGCCAUGAUCUACAGGCAAGUGCCUGCUCAGCAACGUACAAGAGAGGUCAGCGUGGGGCCUACUCGCCAAGAUGAUGCUUCUCUUCUCGUGCUUAUUUACUUGCCUCCUAUGUGUGACGAGAAGGAGCAGGAGAUUCAGAGGCUCAGGUUGGCGUCGCUAGGUGAGUUCCCUGCUGAUUUGACGAGCACGUGAUAUAGACUGUGGUCGGGUUCCUUCCUAACUCUGCUGGGCCUAAUGAAGAGAAAGAAUCAACUUUUGAGCUUAAUUGGCUAGAUCCAACCAGGCAGCUGCACAACAUUGUCAAGGAGAAGAUGAGAACAAUGCGAUGCUCAAAGAAGCAGGCUCCAGUUUUGGUAAAUGAGUAGUGAUGUUGUUGCAACCACCGAAACAAAUCUGAAAAAUAAGACAAAGACAAACAGGUUGAGAGGUUGGAUAAUGAUAUGGAAGAUCAAGUUAAAAAACAAAUUAUUGAUGCCCCUGCAAGCAAAGUAAAGAAAAGCCUACUUGAACUUACAUGGUUUUGCAAUAGGAGAGGCUUAGACUUUCAGGGUUUGCAAUAGGAGAGGCUUAGACUUUCAGGAGAGGCUUAUACCCGUUGCCUCUCCUAUUGCAAAAUACUCAAAAAUACUCAAAAAUACUCAAAAGCCUCUCCUAUUGCAAAAUACUCAAAAGUACUCGUUAAUGAUAUGUACCUGUUUUCAAAAAUCACAUUUGGUGCUUUUAAGUAUUUUUAAUACAGUUUUGCUCAAUAAAAAUUCACCACAUACAUUUUUUUGUUUAUACCCGUUGCAACGCACGGGCAUUUU